CCAUGCCCAAUUCCCCAUCAGAUUUCCUUUUUGGAAUAAAAUUAAAAACCCUACACAAGAACCCCUCAUCUUCUUCAACCUGGGAAAACAUUGAAGAUCUAAAAACAUCUAAACUUCACUCAAAACACACAGCCGCCGACCAACUCCACCAUUCUUGCCGCCAGUGAACUCCUCCAAACGACCACCCCUUCAGCCAUCUCCUCACCUGUCGCAGCUUCACUCACACUACACUCACCCGUCUCUCUCACGCCAGAAAACAUACAUAAAACAGCUGCACCCGACCUCAACACCCAAGGACUGCCCUCUCUCUGAAUAAGAUUUUAUAGAUAAAAAAAGAAAAAGAAAAACCUAGGGCCUAAUCUAGACGAAGAGCAGCGACAAUUCCUUCAGCUUAACCUCUAAGUCAUAGCCGUUUCCACCUUCUUCUCCUUUACAAAAAGAAGCAACCAUCCUCACCAACAACACCACCAAGGUUCCGACUCACCCCAGCUCCAAAACACAAAGCCAGCAACACCAAAAACACACAGAGGACGAAACUCGAUCUGGUCGGUCCUGAGUUUGAGUUGAAAAGGUCUGUCAAAGAGAUUCGCGGUCCGAGCUGCUACUACUGUUGCACUUUUGGGUCAGAUUUGGUUUUUCGGGAUUUGCUGUGACUAAAGUCACGUUUAAUACGAAGAAAUCUUUGAUGAGGUUCAAUUUUCUCUUAUCUCAUAUGUGCUUUGAUCUUUUCAUUAUUUUGUUUAUGGUUUUGGAAAGUUUCAUGUCCUGUUUUGUGUUUUAAUUUGCUUCCUUGAUUCACUGUAGUCUUUUGCAUUACUGUUAAUUUCGUAUUGGACUAGUUUGAAUUAAUUGGGUUAAACUUGAAGUGCAUCAAGAAUAUUAAGGCAAAUAAGUCACAAUUUGAUAAAAUGAAAAAAAUUGAAUUUUGUCAAGGGGUUGGUUUAAUACAAGCAUGGACUUUGUAAAGGCUUACUGGACCGACUGGGAGGGGAAUUAUAAAAUUUGAGCUUGGAUCAAUUUUCUUAGUUCUUUUUCUUGCUUUGUUGCUUUUAAUCGUUAGGAGCAUGUUUAGGCCGUUAAUAUUCGGGUAGGCAAACUCGAGGAUUUUGUUUGUUUAAUUUUGAGGUAAGAGGUCAUUUCCUUAAUUAAAUUUAUCUGGGUAAUGCCCCAAAGGAUUUGUAUAUAUUUUUAUCUGGGGUAUGACCCGUAGUAUCAUGUAUUUGGAGGUCAUGACGAACCUUGGGGAAAAGUAUAGUAUAUAUUAGUGUUUUGGACUUUAUUUUAAUUUUCUUUUCUAUUUUCUUUUAUUAGGUGGGGACGACCUCGAGCCUCUUGUGUGUUUAUUUCGUUUUGUGUAUUUUUGCCUCAAUUAGAAUAUCCUAUAAAACCGACUAGAUCAAGUAUGCAACCGUACUAGUUACGGGACUUGGGGAGUGCCUAACACCUUCUCCCCGAGUCAAAUGAACCCCUUACCCAAAUCUCUGGUGCAGACUUAGUUUUGGAGUCUAAAGUGUUUCAAAAGCAAAAUCAUUUUAAAAAAAACGGUGACCUGACACACCGAAAUCAAAUUUCAAGUGGCGACUCUGAGUUAUUUCCUUUUGAACACAAUUUUUGUCACGUUCUAAUUGGAAAACCUAUUUCAAGCUUUACAAAUCUUUUUAUUAAUUUAAGAGGGUUAGUGAAGUUUUGGUUAAAAAUGGAGUGUGACAAUAGUGGCCUGGUGAAAAACUUGGCGAGUAUGGGUCUUGUUAGCACAACUAUUGUGAAGCCACUUCUUGAGACAUUGUACCGGUGUGGGAUGCAAAAGUUAGUAGAUGAUAGUGCCACUUCAUUCCAUGGAAAGCAAAAGGAAUGAAGCGUCAUACCAGGUUGAAGUUAAGAGAGAUGAGCAGCAGUGUAAAGCCCACAUAUCUUCUGAUACGGGAAGAAUUUGGUUCCCUUCUCUCAUUGUUCCGAGCCAACAACAACAACAACAACAACAACAACAACAACAAUAACAACAACUCAUUAUAAUCUCACUUAAUGGGAAAAAGCUUUGAAAAAGAGCCAUGACAUAACUAAUAAAGUUGCUUCCAUAUGACCUUGUGGUCACUGGUUUGAACCAUGAAAAUAGGUGAUUAGAAGAGGAUAUAGAGAAGGGAAAGUGCUAAAAGUUGUUGAAGAAAGAAUGAGUGUAGUUUUUGUUUAAGUAACCCCUUAUUUAUAGAAAAACAAUGACGAAACUAACGGGCAUUCAAUGCUUUUGGGAAAAUGGACCAGCGGUACAUUCAGUGCUUCUGGGGAAUGAACCGACGGGACGUUUCGAUCACUUCGAAUGCCUACGCCACGAGCAUGACAUCAUCAUGAGAGGUUCGAGAAAAUCAAGGUCAAACGUUUCAUAUCAUUCUAUUCUAAGAAAUGCGGGGACUAUCUGUAUAUGGUCAAAAUCGAGGAGUAUGAUUUUGAAGGUUUAAAUCGGGCCAUAGGCCCAAGUCCGAGACUCGAAAUGGGUGUCGUAUCCGACUAAGAGACAUCUACCUCAGGAAAGCUGAUCGAGUGCCUGGCACGGACUGCAUCAAGGGGUAGCAUUAUCUCGAAAUCAAUCAAGAAAGAGCGGGAAUUUCUCAAGGACACGUGGAUCUGGACAUUAAUUAUAGGAUAAGGGUUGUACGAAGUGGUACAGGUUCGUACUAGGCCGUUAUACACCUGUACCAAUAGAAUUCUUUACCUUUGUGAGCAAGGUACUACUUAGGGGUUUUCUCCUCCUAUAUAAAGGAGACCCCAAUCAUUUUGGUAAGGCAUCAGACCAUUCACUACAAUAGAACAUUUUUAUUCUUCUCUUGUUUAGCGUGCUCUCCAAUUAUUCUUCAGCUUUAUUGUCUUUACUUUAUUGUUCAUACUUUAUUACUCUUAGUUGACCUCGAGGUCCCUGAAUUGUCGAGCUCGAGGCCCACUAUUGUUCCAACAACACUGAUUUGGUUCAUUAUUUCUUCUUACUUAAGCUCAAUAUUACUUGUAUAAUCGCUAGUAUUAGAAUAUAUCACGUAUCUUUAAAACCACAAAAUAUCUUUAAUUGUUACUCACAUCUUUCGAGGUAAACAGAAAUAUAAGUCUUAUGUUUUAUUUUUUUUGUUUUUUUGUGCUACGAUUACAUAAGGGCGAAUUAUAUCAUUCGUCUCUCGUAUAAUGUAUUGCAAAUCGGUGAUAAGAAAGAGAAUCCUACGAAAGGUGAAAAGAAGCAUAUUUUCAUUUUUCUCUAGGUUGUUGACGCAAGCUGCUGAUAGUCACCUUUUAUGACAUCAAUUAAUGAGAAUCUUUUGUUGUGGUAUGAUUGAAUGAUUAUAUAUAUAGCCAUCUAUGCAAAUAAUCAAACGGAUGAUAAUUUCACGAACUCAACAUUUUCAUCUUCUCCGUUAUGUUUUUGCCUAAUUGAGAAAUUAUUUUAUGAUAUUUUUUAGUGUUUGAGUGAUAUAUAGUCAAUAUUUUCUAGGUACUAAAGAUUUAUCACUUAUAAUAAUAUCUAUGUAAUUAGUUUUUAUAGAGAAGCCUUGAAAUAUUUGUAAAUGAAAUUGACUUCCAUCCAUACGUGCGAGAGAAAUCAUUUUUUGCAGGAAAAUAUUUUCCUUAAAACCAUAAUAUUUUUUAGAAUUCAAAGUAAACAAAAAUAUUGAAAUUUAUUUCCAAGAAAAAGAUUUUUGCUUGCCAUAUCAACGAUCUGAUUCUGGUAAUGGUUCUUAGCCUAUUCCAAAUAUUUAAGAAAAAACACAUGCAAUAUACUGAAACAUUUUGCCUAGAAGACACCUUUUGCUUUAUCAACGGUUUCAUAAACAGAAUCUUAUCUAUUCCAAAGAUAUGUCGUGAUUCUUUUAUAUUUGAUAUUUUAUCCACAAGUUCAACUUUAUGAAGAUCCUUUAGAACAUUUGAACACAGAAUAAAUUGUUAUCUUUUUACUUUUUGGGGGGGUGAGGGGUGGGGGGGGGGGAUAAUUAAAGUUGGAGGUUAACGAAGAUAAAAAGCUAGUGCAAUGUGGCGAUUUUUUAUGGAAAAAGGGUCAGAUUAGUCCUUUUACUUUCAAAAAUUAUUCAUAUACUAUGUGAACAGAUAUACCUCUACCGUUAGCAAAGUUUCAGUUUUUGCCCCUAACCCUAGUGGAAACACCUAAUCCACCAAAUCAAUCUUUUAUUUAUUUUCUAUAUUUAAUUUAUCAUAAAAUCAAAGAACUAAGUAAAUCUAUUAAAUUGGAGUCCAAUUUAAUGUUUAGUAGUUUAAAAUUUCUUCAACCACGGAAUUAGAAUAAAUGUAAAAAUGCUGAUUUGGAAUUUAAGCAAAGAAAAGACUCAAAUUUACAGAGUUUGCUUAUUUCUUUGAUAUUCUGAUAAAUAUAAAAAAUAAAUAAAAUAUUGAUUUGAUGGACCAGGGGUUUCCAUUUGAUAAAUUUGUUCUCAUAGAAUAACGGAUGUUAAAUAUAAAUAAUUUUUGAAAGUAAAGAAGUAAAUCUAACGCUUUUCAUCCACAGUUCUAAUAUUUAUAUGUAUAUACUUCCUUUUUUCUUUGACACUGCAGCAGCGGUUAAAGAUUAGAUGCUAUAUCGAUUGGUGUCUUUUCAGGAAUCUGAUUCUUC
This 4600-nucleotide long non-coding RNA is filed under the name Nicotiana tabacum (common tobacco). Its description in RNAcentral is "long non-coding RNA (NTAB_LNC004360)". Lineage: Eukaryota; Viridiplantae; Streptophyta; Magnoliopsida; Solanales; Solanaceae. The record is from RNAcentral.